GGGCGGUAUAGACCAGCUCGUAGAUCCAGCCGGGCUGGAAGCCCGCCGGCAGGUGGAUGUUGGCGUCGGAAGGGAUCGCCGCCUGUUCGGCCCCC
RNAcentral lists this transfer RNA (95 nucleotides) under Allostella sp. ATCC 35155. RNAcentral describes it as "Stella sp. ATCC 35155 tRNA-Ser". Lineage: Bacteria; Pseudomonadati; Pseudomonadota; Alphaproteobacteria; Rhodospirillales; Allostellaceae. The record is from RNAcentral.